Aquila chrysaetos chrysaetos is the source of this 1258-nucleotide long non-coding RNA. RefSeq lists it as uncharacterized. The transcript has 5 exons. Lineage: Eukaryota; Metazoa; Chordata; Aves; Accipitriformes; Accipitridae. The record is from RefSeq and is a predicted model, not a curated record.
GUCCCGGAAGGAGCGGCGCGGCCCCGAGGCUUCCCGAGCUUUCCCCCUCCCUCCCUCCCUCCUUCCUCCUUUCCCCAUCGCGGCGCGGACAGAGCCGAAGCCAGGGCGGAAACUGCCGAGAUGGCCUCAACAAUGGGGGGGAGAUGAAGGGCCUGGGGAUGCGCAGAAGGCAGAGGGGACGCACAGGACAGCAGGAGGUGCAGCAGCUUCUCCCUGCACUGGUUUGCUGGAGAGGAGUUCAGCCCACAAAUAAAACAAAGGGAAAAGACCACACUGGAAGAUGAAUUGUGCUGUCUUGGCUAACUACUUCUCCUAAGCUUUAAUAUGUUCCCAAAACAGACAUGUAGAACCAGAAACGAGGACAUUUCUUCUAUGACAACACAUUUGCUCUUAAAAGACCAGCAAAUGGACAGUGGCCAGGAAUAUUGAACAGGUGACUGCUACCGUUUGGAGCCACUAAGGUGCGGCAGUCCUUGCGCAGCCGCGCUGCCUCCACCCUCCCUGCACUCUGCUGCUCCGGCUGCUUCCCCAGCUGCGGUCACUCCUCCUGCCCGCGUUACGGCUUCCUUCGCGGCUGGGGCCGGGCAUGCCCUUCGCCUCUUAACUCGCCAGCACCAGCUACUUCCAUGCCUCCACGUGUAUUUGAUGUUAAUUCCGGGACAUAGAGAUCCCUUUCCGCACGGUGACAAGUCCCCUGAAAAUCUAAGCUGCUGUUCUGAAUUACCAUUUAAGCCAUUAGUCGCUUAAGGAAGCUUGCCAGAGUCAGCAGCCAGCAAUAACACAUUUCUUGUAUGCAGACUGUCUCCUAAAUAAUAAAAGUGUCUCCUCCGCUGCCCAUUUUCUCUCUGUGGUAGCUGGAUUUUCUGGGGAUGCGUUUGAUCUGCAAUACGAUCAGUACAAUAAGACGGUGACACAAGUUUAGCAAUUGCUUUGUGAGACUCGGCUAACAUCACGUAAAAAAUGGUUCUCAGAUUCUGCACACAGACAGGUUUAUGUAAAAUGUAUAAACAUUUGUCCAAGUUGUUACAGAUUGCAUAAAUAUGGCAUUUUUACUGUUGCAUUUACAGAUGUGCAUGUACAACGAUGUGCAAAUAAUCACAAUUCGAUUACAAUCUUUUAAAGGUACUUGAACCUUGCAUCCAAGUAACGCCAUGAAUGAAAAAUGCCCACCAAAGAAUUUAAAUAGCAAACUUAUAACAUGGUUUAAAUUCAUAACAAAUUUCAACGUCUUCUCAGUAAAACUUUCACACAUUUAAAA